RNAcentral lists this ribosomal RNA (32 nucleotides) under Tuber neoexcavatum. RNAcentral's name for it is "partial 18S ribosomal RNA". Lineage: Eukaryota; Fungi; Ascomycota; Pezizomycetes; Pezizales; Tuberaceae. The record is from RNAcentral.
UCGUUAAGGGUUGAACCUGCGGAAGGUCAUUA